CGCAAUGGGCGAAAGCCUGACGGAGCAAUACCGCGUGAGGGAGGAAGGUCUUUGGAUUGUAAACCUCUUUUCUCAGGGAAGAAUAUUGACGGUACCUGAGGAAUAAGCACCGGCUAACUCCGUGCCAGCAGCCGCGGUAAUACGGAGGGUGCAAGCGUUAUCCGGAAUUAUUGGGCGUAAAGAGUCCGUAGGUGGUCAUGCAAGUCUGCUGUCAAAGCCCACAGCUUAACUGUGGAUCGGCGGUGGAAACUGUGUGACUUGAGUACGGUAGGGGUAGAGGGAAUUCCCAGUGUAGCGGUGAAAUGCGUAGAUAUUGGGAAGAACACCGGUGGCGAAAGCGCUCUACUGGACCGUAACUGACACUGAGGGACGAAAGCUAAGGUAGCGAAAGGGAUUAGAUACCCCUGUAGUCUUAGCCGUAAACGAUGGAUACUAGGCGUUGUCUGUAUCGACCCGGACAGUGCCGAAGCUAACGCGUUAAGUAUCCCGCCUGGGGAGUACGCACGCAAG
RNAcentral lists this ribosomal RNA (510 nucleotides) under uncultured Synechococcus sp. RNAcentral's name for it is "bacterial SSU rRNA". It matches the Rfam family "Bacterial small subunit ribosomal RNA", at positions 367 to 892 of the family's 1533-position model. Lineage: Bacteria; Bacillati; Cyanobacteriota; Cyanophyceae; Synechococcales; Synechococcaceae. The record is from RNAcentral.